Malaclemys terrapin pileata is the source of this 699-nucleotide long non-coding RNA. RefSeq lists it as uncharacterized. The record is from RefSeq and is a predicted model, not a curated record. NCBI's taxonomy places the organism in Eukaryota, Metazoa, Chordata, Testudines, Emydidae. The transcript is spliced from 3 exons.
GGGUGGCUGCAGUUCCCAUCAUGCAAUGCGGCGCGUCUUCUCGAGCGUUGCGUGCUGGGAGCUGUAGUCUCCUGGGGCAUCCGCACGGGGCUGGAAGAGCAGGGGUGCUGUUUGCUGGGCUCCCGCUGUCCCGUGGGCUUCCGCGGGAGCGGGAGCUGCCCCGAAGGGCUCUGGGCCGCGAUGGUGCUUCCCGCCUCCUCCCCCCGCAAGUGAGCUCACACAGCUCAUGAAGGCAUACACUGGCCACAGUGACAGAACCAGGAAAAGAUUCAACUACUGGCUGAGCAGUUUUUUCCAGAGGAUGAACCAAUCUAGAGUGAAUUUCAUCUCUGUGUUCUUCAACCUUCACUUGAGAUGUCAUCAGCACAAUUUCCUGAAUAAAAUUAUUUCAGAACUGUUCAACAAUCUUUAAGCCACAGUAAGACAAGUCUUGUUACUUCUGUCAUCUUUAUAUGUCAUGUUCUGUUUUAAAUAUCUUCUAGCAUAUGCACUAUUGAUAUUUUUUUCUUUUUUGAAGAAAAAUUUGGUUUUAUCGAAAUGAAGUUUGAUCUUUACAUAUUUAACUGUGAAAAUGAAAUUUAAGUGCACCAGUAAUCCAUAUUCCAUAAAGUAAAAGGAUAUCUACAUAAACCAGCAAGAAAAAGUGUACUCAUAAAUUCUCAAACAGAACCACGUGAACUACUGUAAAUUCAGUUUUGC